UACGUAGGGGGCCAGCGUUAUUCGGAAUCACUGGGCUUAAAGGGUGCGUAGGCGGCGCAGAAAGUAGGGUGUGAAAUCCCUCGGCUCAACCGAGGAACUGCGCUCUAAACUACUGUGCUCGAGGGAGAUAGAGGUGAGCGGAACUUAGGGUGGAGCGGUGAAAUGCGUUGAUAUCCUAAGGAACACCGGUGGCGAAAGCGGCUCACUGGAUCUCUUCUGACGCUGAGGCACGAAAGCUAGGGUAGCAAACGGG
Molecule: ribosomal RNA, 253 nt
Filed under: uncultured bacterium
Lineage: Bacteria
Description: partial 16S ribosomal RNA
Rfam family: Bacterial small subunit ribosomal RNA
Source: RNAcentral